UUUAAUUUAGCAUUUUUGAUCAUUAAUUUUAAUGUUAAUGAAUAUCAUUUUAAAACCACUAAAAUUUGCUGAAGUUAAAUACGCGCUAACAAUUAUUGUUAUUAGAGUAAAAGCAUCUAUUAUGUACGUAAAUAUUCUCUUUUUUGUUUUGUUAUUUACUCUCUUUUCUCUUAUGUUUUUUCGUCAGUACUUCCUCUUCCCUCUUUCUCAUAACUAUAUUAUGCUCUCCUGGGUAUCAGCAGCUCUUGCUGAUAACCUAUCAAGGUGUCUUUAACAUUUGUGGCUCCCCUCCUAUGUUGAUUCUCUUUCAGACUCGUUAAAUCUAUUAUUAAAUUAAAUCUUCCGAGUGAUGUCAUAAUGGCGGCCAAGUGACAGCUAAAGAUGUGUCUACUUUUGAGCUGUUUACAUAAUGGUGGUGGAUGGUCUAUAACUCAAACUUAAAGCAAAGAAGAUUCCACACUCAGGAUCAUUAACCAAGUCAUUUUGCCUCAAUAAAAUUGUCUGAAAUAUUUUUAGAGCCUAGAUUUUACACCAGUCAUUCAGAGGCCACAGCAUCUUUAUUUCUUGUUGGAACAACUUUAAACUUCUGAAGUGUAUUCUUCUGGCUAGUAUGGGCAGGAAGCUGCGAUUGUCUAGAACACUGUAUGUAUGCAUCCUGGAAAGUCAAGGACGUCAGUUGCUUGCAGUUCUGUUAUAGUUAAUUUUUUUUUUACCAUAAAAAUAUCAACCAAUUUAAAUUGUUCUUUCAGUGUAUUGUAGGCGAAUUUCAUAGUAAAACUAUUAAAUGUAAGAUAAAUAUAACAUAAA
Molecule: long non-coding RNA, 807 nt
Organism: Amphimedon queenslandica
Lineage: Eukaryota; Metazoa; Porifera; Demospongiae; Haplosclerida; Niphatidae
Exons: 2
Source: RefSeq, a predicted model, not a curated record